GGGGAUCUGGCUCAGUGGUAGAGCGCUUGCCUAGGAAGCGCAAGGCCCUGGGUUCGGUCCCCA
Molecule: transfer RNA, 63 nt
Filed under: Rattus norvegicus (Norway rat)
Lineage: Eukaryota; Metazoa; Chordata; Mammalia; Rodentia; Muridae
Rfam family: tRNA
About the family: Transfer RNA (tRNA) molecules are approximately 80 nucleotides in length.
Source: Rfam by way of RNAcentral